This 253-nucleotide ribosomal RNA is filed under the name uncultured bacterium. RNAcentral's name for it is "partial 16S ribosomal RNA". It matches the Rfam family "Bacterial small subunit ribosomal RNA", at positions 524 to 776 of the family's 1533-position model. The record is from RNAcentral.
UACGGAGGGUGCAAGCGUUAUCCGGAUUCACUGGGUUUAAAGGGUGCGUAGGCGGGUUGGUAAGUCCGUGGUGAAAUCUCCGAGCUUAACUCGGAAACUGCCGUGGAUACUAUCAAUCUUGAAUAUCGUGGAGGUAAGCGGAAUAUGUCAUGUAGCGGUGAAAUGCUUAGAUAUGACAUAGAACACCAAUUGCGUAGGCAGCUUACUACACGAUCAUUGACGCUGAGGCACGAAAGCGUGGGGAGUAAACAGG